GAUGAACGCUGGCGGCGUGCUUAACACAUGCAAGUCGAGCGAAGCGCUUUACUUUGAUUUCUUCGGAUUGAAAAGUGUUGCGACUGAGCGGCGGACGGGUGAGUAACGCGUGGGCAACCUGCCUCAUACAGGGGGAUAACAGUUAGAAAUGACUGCUAAUACCGCAUAAGACCACAGUACCGCAUGGUAUAGUGGUAAAAACUCCGGUGGUAUGAGAUGGGCCCGCGUCUGAUUAGGUAGUUGGUGGGGUAACGGCCUACCAAGCCGACGAUCAGUAGCCGACCUGAGAGGGUGACCGGCCACAUUGGGACUGAGACACGGGUCCAAACUCCUACGGGAGGCAGCAGUGGGGAAUAUUGCACAAUGGGCGAAAGCCUGAUGCAGCGACGCCGCGUGAGCGAAGAAGUAUCUCGGGUAUGUAAAGCUCUAUCAGCAGGGAA
RNAcentral lists this ribosomal RNA (440 nucleotides) under uncultured bacterium. Its description in RNAcentral is "bacterial SSU rRNA". It matches the Rfam family "Bacterial small subunit ribosomal RNA", at positions 28 to 446 of the family's 1533-position model. The record is from RNAcentral.